This 253-nucleotide ribosomal RNA is filed under the name uncultured bacterium. Its description in RNAcentral is "partial 16S ribosomal RNA". It matches the Rfam family "Bacterial small subunit ribosomal RNA", at positions 524 to 776 of the family's 1533-position model. The record is from RNAcentral.
UACGUAGGUGGCAAGCGUUGUCCGGAUUUACUGGGCGUAAAGGGCUUGUAGGCGGUUCGUUAAGUCCGGUGUGAAAUCUCCCGGCUCAACUGGGAGGGGUCAUCGGAUACUGGCGGACUUGAGGUGGGCAGAGGAAAGCAGAAUUCCCGGUGUAGCGGUGAAAUGCGUAGAUAUCUGGAGGAACACCGGUGGCGAAGGCGGCAUCCUGGACCGGCAUUGACACUGAGGAGCGAAAGCCAGGGGAGCAAACGGG